RNAcentral lists this ribosomal RNA (627 nucleotides) under Bacillus sp. (in: firmicutes). Its description in RNAcentral is "bacterial SSU rRNA". It matches the Rfam family "Bacterial small subunit ribosomal RNA", at positions 51 to 662 of the family's 1533-position model. The record is from RNAcentral. Lineage: Bacteria; Bacillati; Bacillota; Bacilli; Caryophanales; Bacillaceae.
AUACAUGCAGUCGAGCGAAUCGACGGGAGCUUGCUCCCUGAGAUUAGCGGCGGACGGGUGAGUAACACGUGGGCAACCUGCCUAUAAGACUGGGAUAACUUCGGGAAACCGGAGCUAAUACCGGAUACGUUCUUUUCUCGCAUGAGAGAAGAUGGAAAGACGGUUUACGCUGUCACUUAUAGAUGGGCCCGCGGCGCAUUAGCUAGUUGGUGAGGUAAUGGCUCACCAAGGCGACGAUGCGUAGCCGACCUGAGAGGGUGAUCGGCCACACUGGGACUGAGACACGGCCCAGACUCCUACGGGAGGCAGCAGUAGGGAAUCUUCCGCAAUGGACGAAAGUCUGACGGAGCAACGCCGCGUGAACGAAGAAGGCCUUCGGGUCGUAAAGUUCUGUUGUUAGGGAAGAACAAGUACCAGAGUAACUGCUGGUACCUUGACGGUACCUAACCAGAAAGCCACGGCUAACUACGUGCCAGCAGCCGCGGUAAUACGUAGGUGGCAAGCGUUGUCCGGAAUUAUUGGGCGUAAAGCGCGCGCAGGUGGUUCCUUAAGUCUGAUGUGAAAGCCCACGGCUCAACCGUGGAGGGUCAUUGGAAACUGGGGAACUUGAGUGCAGAAGAGGAAAGU